This is a regulatory RNA element of 98 nucleotides. It matches the Rfam family "Purine riboswitch aptamer". Rfam says of the family: Riboswitches are metabolite binding domains within certain messenger RNAs that serve as precision sensors for their corresponding targets. Allosteric rearrangement of mRNA structure is mediated by ligand binding, and this results in modulation of gene expression. A class of riboswitches that selectively recognises guanine and becomes saturated at concentrations as low as 5 nM. The record is from Rfam.
CACAGUAAAGAUAAGAUUACUUAUAUAAUUGUGGAAUAUGGCCACCAGUUUCUACCUAGAACCGUAAAUUCUAGACUAUAAGUAAGCGUCGGCAUUAG